Molecule: non-coding RNA, 603 nt
Organism: Nicotiana tabacum (common tobacco)
Lineage: Eukaryota; Viridiplantae; Streptophyta; Magnoliopsida; Solanales; Solanaceae
Source: RefSeq, a predicted model, not a curated record
GCGCGCAACCAAAGAGAACAACGAGGAACCAUCAAAGUCUGAAAUGUUUAUUACAACUCGUACAAAGAAAGGGAAGGAAGUUCAUACGGAUACUCAAGUUGCAAUAUCUGAACUUCAGAAUCGUCAAAGUUCUGGAGAAACAGCAGAUGAUGCAUUUAGGCUGUAUUUGGAAAGGAGCAGCCUAGUCGGGUUAGAUGCUAUGGUAGAUCGGUAACGACAAACUCUCUAAAAAAAGAUGAAGAAAUCACCAAACUUAAACAACAGCAUGCCAACGAAUAACUUCUCUGAAGGAAGAAAUGAAGGAAAUGAUGAGAGAAGAAAUGCGAUGUUUUUUAGUCAAAUGGUGAAAAACAACCCUGGACUGGAUUUUCGUAAUAUACAAGGGUGUGUUGGAUCUAAUAUUCCUUCACCGGUUGAUGCAAGUAGUGCACGAGAUAUGAGAGGCCAUAAUCUACCAUAAUCUUCUGGCUCAACUCAUGCCCCAAGUCUUGAAAAGGAAAAUACCAGUGAUGCAAUUGGAAAUGGUGGCCACAAAUCAAUUUGAUUCAUUGAAGUGAAUGGUGAAGACCUUUUGAACAAUUAUGAUGUUUUUUUUGUUGAUAC